RNAcentral lists this ribosomal RNA (793 nucleotides) under uncultured archaeon. RNAcentral describes it as "bacterial SSU rRNA". It matches the Rfam family "Archaeal small subunit ribosomal RNA", at positions 85 to 879 of the family's 1478-position model. The record is from RNAcentral.
ACGGUUCAGUAACACGUGGACAACCUACCCUUAGGUCGGGGAUAAACCCGGGAAACUGGGUAUAAUACCCGAUAGUCCUCGGAUGCUGGAAUGCACCGAGGUCUAAAGCUCCGGCGCCUAAGGAUGGGUCUGCGGCCUAUCAGGUAGUAGUGGGUGUAGCGUACCUACUAGCCUACGACGGGUACGGGUUGUGAGAGCAAGAGCCCGGAGAUGGAUUCUGAGACACGAAUCCAGGCCCUACGGGGUGCAGCAGGCGCGAAAACUUUACAAUGCUGGAAACAGCGAUAAGGGGACCUCGAGUGCCAGGUUACAAAUCUGGCUGUCGUGAUGCCUAAAAAGCAUUGCAUAGCAAGGGCCGGGCAAGACCGGUGCCAGCCGCCGCGGUAACACCGGCGGCUCGAGUGGUAACCGCUAUUAUUGGGUCUAAAGGGUCUGUAGCCGGCCGGAUAAGUCUUUUGGGAAAUCUGGCAGCUUAACUGUCAGGCUUUCAGAGGAUACUGUCUGGCUCGAGGCCGGGAGAGGUGAGAGGUACUUCAGGGGUAGGGGUGAAAUCUUGUAAUCCUUGAAGGACCACCAGUGGCGAAGGCGUCUCACCAGAACGGACCUGACGGCAAGGGACGAAAGCUAGGGGCACGAACCGGAUUAGAUACCCGGGUAGUCCUAGCCGUAAACGAUACUCGCUAGGUGUCGGCCACGGUGCGACCGUUGUCGGUGCCGUAGGGAAGCCGUGAAGCGAGCCACCUGGGAAGUACGGCCGCAAGGCUGAAACUUAAAGGAAUUGGCGGGGGAGCAC